Molecule: ribosomal RNA, 472 nt
Filed under: uncultured organism
Description: partial 16S ribosomal RNA
Rfam family: Bacterial small subunit ribosomal RNA
Source: RNAcentral
ACACUCCUGCGGGAGGCAGCAGUGGGGAAUAUUGCACAAUGGGCGCAAGCCUGAUGCAGCCAUGCCGCGUGUGUGAAGAAGGCCUUCGGGUUGUAAAGCACUUUCAGCGGGGAGGAAGGCGAUACGGUUAAUAACCGUGUUGAUUGACGUUACCCGCAGAAGAAGCACCGGCUAACUCCGUGCCAGCAGCCGCGGUAAUACGGAGGGUGCAAGCGUUAAUCGGAAUUACUGGGCGUAAAGCGCACGCAGGCGGUCUGUCAAGUCGGAUGUGAAAUCCCCGGGCUCAACCUGGGAACUGCAUUCGAAACUGGCAGGCUUGAGUCUUGUAGAGGGGGGUAGAAUUCCAGGUGGAGCGGUGAAAUGCGUAGAGAUCUGGAGGAAUACCGGUGGCGAAGGCGGCCCCCUGGACAAAGACUGACGCUCAGGUGCGAAAGCGUGGGGAGCAAACAGGAUUAGAAACCCGAGUAGUCCC